This 2087-nucleotide ribosomal RNA is filed under the name Avibacterium paragallinarum JF4211. Its description in RNAcentral is "bacterial LSU rRNA". It matches the Rfam family "Bacterial large subunit ribosomal RNA", at positions 872 to 2838 of the family's 2925-position model. The record is from RNAcentral. Lineage: Bacteria; Pseudomonadati; Pseudomonadota; Gammaproteobacteria; Pasteurellales; Pasteurellaceae.
AGGUAGAGCCUUGUGUGAAUACCUUUUGGGGUAGAGCACUGUUUCGGCUAGGGGCCCAUCCUGGGUUACCAAACCGAUGCAAACUCCGAAUACCAAAGAGUAAUGCACAGGAGACACACGGCGGGUGCUAACGUCCGUCGUGGAGAGGGAAACAACCCAGACCGCCAGCUAAGGUCCCAAAAUCUAUAUUAAGUGGGAAACGAAGUGGGAAGGCUUAGACAGCUAGGAUGUUGGCUUAGAAGCAGCCACCAUUUAAAGAAAGCGUAAUAGCUCACUAGUCGAGUCGGCCUGCACGGAAGAUGUAACGGGGCUAAAAUAUAGUACCGAAGCUGCGGCAUCAGGCGUAUCACUAAUACGCCUUAACGAUUAACCACUUGCGAAGCAAGUGGGUAAAGCGAAAAACACGUUGAGUGUAAUGGCAAAGAAUCGAAGAGGGAUAUUAGUGAUACGUCUGUUGGGUAGGGGAGCGUUGUGUAAGCGGAAGAAGGUGGUUCGAGAGGAUUGCUGGACGUAUCACAAGUGCGAAUGCUGACAUAAGUAACGAUAAAACGGGUGAAAAACCCGUUCGCCGGAAGACCAAGGGUUCCUGUCCAACGUUAAUCGGGGCAGGGUGAGUCGGCCCCUAAGGCGAGGCUGAAAAGCGUAGUCGAUGGGAAACGGGUUAAUAUUCCCGUACUUGGUAAAGUUGCGAUGUGGGGACGGAGAAGGUUAGGUUAUCGACCUGUUGGAAAUGGUCGUUUAAGUUGGUAGGUGGGUGAGUUAGGCAAAUCCGGCUCACCGUUAACACUGAGAGAUGAUGACGAGGCACUAAGGUGCUGAAGUAACUGAUACCACACUUCCAGGAAAAGCCACUAAGCUUCAGGCUUUACUAAACCGUACUGAAAACCGACACAGGUGGUCAGGUAGAGAAUACUCAGGUGCUUGAGAGAACUCGGGUGAAGGAACUAGGCAAAAUAGCACCGUAACUUCGGGAGAAGGUGCGCCGGCGUAGAUUGUAGUGACUUGCUCACGAAGGUUGAACCGGUCGAAGAUACCAGCUGGCUGCAACUGUUUAUUAAAAACACAGCACUCUGCAAACACGAAAGUGGACGUAUAGGGUGUGAUGCCUGCCCGGUGCUGGAAGGUUAAUUGAUGGUGUAAUCGAAAGAGAAGCUCCAGAUCGAAGCCCCAGUAAACGGCGGCCGUAACUAUAACGGUCCUAAGGUAGCGAAAUUCCUUGUCGGGUAAGUUCCGACCUGCACGAAUGGCAUAAUGAUGGCCAGGCUGUCUCCACCCGAGACUCAGUGAAAUUGAAAUCGCCGUGAAGAUGCGGUGUACCCGCGGCUAGACGGAAAGACCCCGUGAACCUUUACUAUAGCUUGACACUGAACCUUGAAUUUUGAUGUGUAGGAUAGGUGGGAGACUGUGAAGCGGUAACGCCAGUUAUCGUGGAGUCGUUGUUGAAAUACCACCCUUUAACGUUUGAUGUUCUAACGAAGUGCCUGAAACGGGUACUCGGACAGUGUCUGGUGGGUAGUUUGACUGGGGCGGUCUCCUCCCAAAGAGUAACGGAGGAGCACGAAGGUUUGCUAAUGACGGUCGGACAUCGUCAGGUUAGUGCAAUGGUAUAAGCAAGCUUAACUGCGAGACAGACAAGUCGAGCAGGUGCGAAAGCAGGUCAUAGUGAUCCGGUGGUUCUGAAUGGAAGGGCCAUCGCUCAACGGAUAAAAGGUACUCCGGGGAUAACAGGCUGAUACCGCCCAAGAGUUCAUAUCGACGGCGGUGUUUGGCACCUCGAUGUCGGCUCAUCACAUCCUGGGGCUGAAGUAGGUCCCAAGGGUAUGGCUGUUCGCCAUUUAAAGUGGUACGCGAGCUGGGUUUAGAACGUCGUGAGACAGUUCGGUCCCUAUCUGCCGUGGGCGUUGGAGAAUUGAGAGGGGCUGCUCCUAGUACGAGAGGACCGGAGUGGACGCAUCACUGGUGUACCAGUUGUCUCGCCAGAGGCACUGCUGGGUAGCUAAAUGCGGAAGAGAUAAGUGCUGAAAGCAUCUAAGCACGAAACUUGCCUCAAGAUGAGUUCUCCCUGACUUAAAGUCAGUAAGGGUUGU